UUUGAUCAGCUGAAUCUCUCGAGGACUUCUCUGGUGUCCUGGAGGGGAUUGGGCUUCUGCCGCCGGGAGGAGUAAGGCAUUUGGAUUUGGCUUUCAAAUCUCCUACCUGUUGGCACCAAGGAGGCUGGGAACACGGAGAAGAGGACCACCUACACCAGGACUUUUCCCCUUCUUGACAAGGCUAUCUGUUGGAGGAGAAGGUGUAUAUUUUUUGAACGUGGCUAGUGAUCGAAAUCGUUUUGCUGGACUAGGCAGAUCUGUCAUGAAGAUUUGAGGAGCAGGCUUGUGUGGGGUCACUACGACCACGGCGCAUCUCGGCCGAGUCGACACCAAGAAAGCACUGUGGCCGCUAUAGGAGAGGGUAUCCAGUAGAAACUUACCAAAUGCUGAGUAACUGAAGCUGAAUGUGGAAAGGAAUUCUGUUUUAACUCAAAGGAACGGCAACUAGCAGAUCAAUCUGGGAGUCUUUAGAUUUUUAUGCAAAGUGAUAUGAUCUUGGAAGAGGUCUGAUCAGUGCCCUCCUGGUCUGCACUCUGUGCCUUACCCAGGGAAAGUCAAUCUCUACAGGCAUGGAAUUAAAAGAUAUUUGCUCCUUGGAAGGAAAGCUAUGGCAAAUCUGGACAGCAGACUAAAAAGCAGAGAUAUCACCUUGCCAACAAAGGUCCAAACAAAGGUCAAAGGAAAGAUGAAGACAGUUCUCCAGAUCUUCCCCGUGCUGCUGCUGCUCCUGGGCAUAGGGUUGGGACAUUGGUUGGCUCCAGCAACCCUAGAGGACAGUCAGGAGCUACUGGAUCAGCUUUGGGACAGUGACUCAAGGGAGGAGGCAGCUGAAAAUACGGAUGUCACCAAAGCCAUGGAACCCCAGGAGGCUGGAGAGAAUGACAUGCUGUUGUUGGAUUCCAUGGAGUCAUCAUCAGCAGGGGCCUUUCUUAGAGAAGAUGAAGUUAUGGGUCAGGAGGAAGCAGUGGCUGAGGAGCUCUCCCAUGAGGAGGAUGAGGCAGGUCCAGUUUAAAAGGGACUGCAAUGUCAUGAUGGCCCAGAAAGCCUGGAAGCUCAAGAGCAUCUAUAAGGUGAAGCAUACCUUUAUCCAUGAAAACCUAGACAAAGUCAAAGUUAUCUGUAGCAC
Molecule: non-coding RNA, 1126 nt
Organism: Phascolarctos cinereus (koala)
Lineage: Eukaryota; Metazoa; Chordata; Mammalia; Diprotodontia; Phascolarctidae
Source: RefSeq, a predicted model, not a curated record